Molecule: transfer RNA, 74 nt
Filed under: Burkholderiales bacterium
Lineage: Bacteria; Pseudomonadati; Pseudomonadota; Betaproteobacteria; Burkholderiales
Also listed under: 2 other names
Description: tRNA-Val
Rfam family: tRNA
About the family: Transfer RNA (tRNA) molecules are approximately 80 nucleotides in length.
Source: RNAcentral
GGGCGAUUAGCUCAGCUGGCUAGAGCGCAGGUAUCACACACCUGAGGUCACAGGUUCGAGCCCUGUAUCGCCCA